AUGGUUCUCAACGCCAGGCGGGGCUCCACGCCGCGCCCCUCCGCCCAGCGCCUCGUCGGCCCCCGCGACCCCAGUCCUGGGCCCUGCCCGCGCCCCCGCGCCGCAGCCUCGUCGCCUCCACUGCAGCACCCCCGCCCGCCGCCGCCGCUGCGGUCCCCAGGCGCAGCCGGGAGGGGCCCGGGCGCCAACGGAGGCGGCCGAGGACCCCCGCCUCGACACCCCGCGCGGCCGCGACCCUGGUCCCCACUCCCCGGGGCCAAGGACGGCCGCCCAGCACAGGCUUACCCGGCAGGCGGCGGUUCCUGCGCUCCGCGCCCUCCGCAAUGCGCGCCGCGGUUCUGCCGCCGCGGUCCCGGCGCUGGGCGGCGCUCGGGGGCGCUCGGCGGGGCUCGCUCUCGGCGGCGGCGGCUCGGGAGCUUCUGUCCAAGGUUCUGCAGGCGCCGCGGCCCCGCCCCCCGCUCGGCCGCCCGCACCUUCGCCGCCGCCACCGCCGCCGCCGCGCUCGCGCUCCCGCUCCCGUUCCCGGCGCGCGCUUCAGCGCCCUCCCUCGCCGGGCGCGCGCACCGUCCACGCGCCGGCCUGGUCUUGCCGGGGAGCCGCGGCCGUGAGUGUCCUCAGCUCUGGCCGCGCACGGUGCGGGUAGAACGCGGCGGCGAGCGGGAGGCCUCUAGGCGCCGGGCCCCAUCUAAAAGCAAGACUCGGCGGCAGCAGCGGGACACGGGGCGCUCGACCGCCCCGCCCCUCGGGGCCGCCCCUCCCGCACAGCUCACCGCCCGCUCUGCGCCGCCGCCCAGCAGCAGCACCGCCACCGAGUCCUGGGCGCCCGCACAACCCAACUCUGCCGACGCGGGGCGGACGCCACGCAGGGCGGGGCCGAGAGCCGACCCCGCCCGCGCCCCGCCCAGACACGUGCUGCCUUUGUUCCCGCCGCGGCGCCCGCAGCUGCCGGCCGCGGGGGAGCUCUCGGCUAAGUCCCCGCCCUGGCCGCGGGCGGCCCGCGGGCUCCGCCGAGGAAUGGGCCCCUAG
This 1026-nucleotide long non-coding RNA is filed under the name Callithrix jacchus (white-tufted-ear marmoset). Its description in RNAcentral is "lncRNA (ENSCJAG00000087162.1)". The record is from RNAcentral. Lineage: Eukaryota; Metazoa; Chordata; Mammalia; Primates; Cebidae.